UACGGAGGGUGCGAGCGUUGUCCGGAAUUACUGGGCGUAAAGGGCGCGUAGGCGGCCUGCUAAGUCACACGUGAAAUCCCUCGGCUCAACCGGGGAACUGCGUGUGAUACUGGCGGGCUUGAAUUCGGGAGAGGGAUGUGGAAUUCCAGGUGUAGCGGUGAAAUGCGUAGAUAUCUGGAGGAACACCGGUGGCGAAGGCGGCGUUCUGGACUGCAACUGACACUGAGAGACGAAAGCCAGGGGAGCAAACGGG
Molecule: ribosomal RNA, 253 nt
Filed under: uncultured bacterium
Lineage: Bacteria
Description: partial 16S ribosomal RNA
Rfam family: Bacterial small subunit ribosomal RNA
Source: RNAcentral